This 255-nucleotide long non-coding RNA is filed under the name Elaeis guineensis (African oil palm). RNAcentral's name for it is "long non-coding RNA (EGUI_LNC008780)". The record is from RNAcentral. Lineage: Eukaryota; Viridiplantae; Streptophyta; Magnoliopsida; Arecales; Arecaceae.
UAGAUAAGGAGCGAUCCACCUCGGAUCUUGCCGAUCGGGUCGGCACCAUCAAAGAGAGUGGUAGUGAUGCCAAACAAGGUAGAGAUGGAGUUUGCUUUAUAAAGGAGACGGAGCCUGAAUCGACUCUAGAGUGGUUGGUGGAGCCAACCUAAGCGGCACAGUGGUGACCAGCCGUCGUCUAUCUCCAGACGAUCCAUGCUCAAUGUCCGCACUAAUGGUGCAGGGAUUGGGGAAGGAGUCCUCAGCUAGGACUUU